This 256-nucleotide ribosomal RNA is filed under the name uncultured bacterium. Its description in RNAcentral is "partial 16S ribosomal RNA". It matches the Rfam family "Bacterial small subunit ribosomal RNA", at positions 524 to 777 of the family's 1533-position model. The record is from RNAcentral.
UACGAAGGGUGCAAGCGUUACUCGGAAUUACUGGGCGUAAAGCGCACGUAGGCGGAUCGUUAAGUCGGGGGUGAAAUCCUGGAGCUCAACUCCAGAACUGCCUUCGAUACUGGCGCUCUUGAGUCCGGAAGAGGUGAGUGGAACUCCUAGUGUAGAGGUGGAAUUCGUAGAUAUUAGGAAGAACACCAGUGGCGAAGGCGGCUCACUGGUCCGGUACUGACGCUGAGGUGCGAAAAGCGUGGGGGAGCAAACAGGG